UGUUAUCUUUGGUUAUCUAGCUGUAUGAAUCAAAUGGCUGUCAUAAAGCUAGAUAACCGAAAGUAACAGCCACUCUAU
This 78-nucleotide microRNA precursor is filed under the name Eptatretus burgeri (inshore hagfish). RNAcentral describes it as "Danio rerio miR-9-2 stem-loop (ENSEBUG00000000029.1)". It matches the Rfam family "mir-9/mir-79 microRNA precursor family". Rfam says of the family: The mature ~21nt miRNAs are processed from hairpin precursor sequences represented here. miR-9 is processed from the 5' arm of its precursor, and miR-79 from the 3' arm. The bounds of the precursors are predicted based on conservation and base pairing and are not generally known. Lineage: Eukaryota; Metazoa; Chordata; Myxini; Myxiniformes; Myxinidae. The record is from RNAcentral.